UCCGGUUGAUCCUGCCGGACCUGACUGCUAUUGGGGUAAGGCUAAGCCAUGGGAGCCGAACGCCCUAUCACUAUAGGGCGUGACGCACGGCUGAGUAACACGUAGCUAACCUACCCUCGGGACUGGGAUAACUCCGGGAAACUGGAGCUAAACCCGGAUAUGUGAGGAGUCCUGGAAUGGUUCCUCACUUAAAGAGAUCUUAGGGGGUUACUGCCUAAGGUCUGCCCGAGGAUGGGGCUACGGCCCAUCAUGGUAGUUGGCGGGGUAAUGGCCCGCCAAGCCUACGACGGGUAGGGGCCCUGGGAGGGGGAGCCCCCAGAUGGACCCUGAGACAAGGGUCCAGGCCCUACGGGGCGCACCAGGCGCGAAACCUCUGCAAUGCGGGAAACCGUGACAGGGUUACCCCAAGUGCUCCCGUUAAGGGAGCUUUUCCUCGCUGUAAGGGGGCGAGGGAAUAAGCGGGGGGCAAGACUGGUGUCAGCCGCCGCGGUAAUACCAGCCCCGCGAGUGGUCAGGACGAUUACUGGGCCUAAAGCGCCCGUAGCCGGUCUAGCAAGUCCUCUCUGAAAGCUCCGGGCCUAACCCGGAGAGUGGAGAGGAUACUGCUAGGCUAGGGGGCGGGAAAGGCCGGGGGUACUCCUAGGGUAGGGGCGAAAUCCGAUAAUCCUAGGAGGACCACCAGUGGCGAAGGCGCCCGGCUGGAACGCGCCCGACGGUGAGGGGCGAAAGCUGGGGGAG
RNAcentral lists this ribosomal RNA (738 nucleotides) under uncultured Desulfurococcales archaeon. Its description in RNAcentral is "bacterial SSU rRNA". It matches the Rfam family "Archaeal small subunit ribosomal RNA", at positions 1 to 719 of the family's 1478-position model. The record is from RNAcentral. Lineage: Archaea; Thermoproteati; Thermoproteota; Thermoprotei; Desulfurococcales.